RNAcentral lists this ribosomal RNA (497 nucleotides) under uncultured bacterium. RNAcentral's name for it is "partial 16S ribosomal RNA". It matches the Rfam family "Bacterial small subunit ribosomal RNA", at positions 28 to 507 of the family's 1533-position model. The record is from RNAcentral.
GAUGAACGCUGGCGGCGUGCCUAAUACAUGCAAGUCGAGCGAACAGAUAAGGAGCUUGCUCCUUUGACGUUAGCGGCGGACGGGUUAGUAACACGUGGGUAACCUACCUAUAAGACUGGAAUAACUCCGGGAAACCGGGGCUAAUGCCGGAUAACAUUUAGAACCGCAUGGUUCUAAAGUGAAAGAUGGUUUUGCUAUCACUUAUAGAUGGACCCUCGCCGUAUUAGCUAGUUGGUAAGGUAACGGCUUACCAAGGCAACGAUACGUAGCCGACCUGAGAGGGUGAUCGGCCACACUGGAACUGAGACACGGUCCAGACUCCUACGGGAGGCAGCAGUAGGGAAUCUUCCGCAAUGGGCGAAAGCCUGACGGAGCAACGCCGCGUGAGUGAUGAAGGUCUUCGGAUCGUAAAACUCUGUUAUUAGGGAAGAACAAAUGUGUAAGUAACUGUGCUCGUCUUGACGGUACCUAAUCAGAAAGCCACGGCUAACUACGUG